Molecule: long non-coding RNA, 240 nt
Filed under: Zostera marina
Lineage: Eukaryota; Viridiplantae; Streptophyta; Magnoliopsida; Alismatales; Zosteraceae
Description: long non-coding RNA (ZMAR_LNC005108)
Source: RNAcentral
CCAAGUGCAAGUUUUCAGGGGGGGGUAUCACAAACUCUCCCGACACUUCUGUCACUUCGACCAGAAGAUGUCAAAUUUCAAGGGGGGAGUAUCACAAACUCUCCCGACACUUCCGUCACUUUGACCAGAAGUUGUCAAAUUUUAAGGGGGGAGUAUCACAAGCUCUCCCGGCACUUCUGUCUAUAGGAUGGAAGUCGUCACAUUUCAAGGGGGAGUAUCAUAAGCUCUCCCGACACUUCU